GUCACCGUGGGCAGGUGGGGUGAGCCCCGCCAGGAGCAGGUGCUCGGUGCCCGCGGGGCUGCCUGCAGCUCGCCCCGUGAAAACCCCGCUCCCCGCAGCGGGAGGGCGAAGCGCGUUCCUAACGUUGACGGGAGGCGAGUCUGCGGGGGAGCCGCAAAGACCAGGCACAGAUGGAGGAGUCUGGAUUGCCAGGACCUGGCUUGUUGGGCUGCAGGAACUUCCUUCACUGAGAGACCCCUGGGAGCCUUGAUUACUGGCUGAGCUGAGGAACCUGGAAGCCUUGCAAGAGCUGAUUCCAGCAUGCUGACCAUGGUGUCCUCAAGCAAGAGACACCUGCAGAAACCCCGACUA
Long non-coding RNA from Nyctereutes procyonoides (raccoon dog), 351 nucleotides. RefSeq lists it as uncharacterized. Lineage: Eukaryota; Metazoa; Chordata; Mammalia; Carnivora; Canidae. The transcript is spliced from 3 exons. The record is from RefSeq and is a predicted model, not a curated record.